CAGCAGCCACGGGAAUACAGAGGGUGCGAGCGUUAAUCGGAUUUACUGGGCGUAAAGCGUGCGUAGGCGGCUUUUUAAGUCGGAUGUGAAAUCCCUGAGCUUAACUUAGGAAUUGCAUUCGAUACUGGGAAGCUAGAGUAUGGGAGAGGAUGGUAGAAUUCCAGGUGUAGCGGUGAAAUGCGUAGAGAUCUGGAGGAAUACCGAUGGCGAAGGCAGCCAUCUGGCCUAAUACUGACGCUGAGGUACGAAAGCAUGGGGAGCAAACAGGAUUAGAUACCCGUGUAGUCCCUGUCUCUUAUAC
RNAcentral lists this ribosomal RNA (301 nucleotides) under uncultured bacterium. RNAcentral describes it as "partial 16S ribosomal RNA". It matches the Rfam family "Bacterial small subunit ribosomal RNA", at positions 509 to 807 of the family's 1533-position model. The record is from RNAcentral.